UCUCCUACGGUUGUCAACAUAGCUCUUUUGAUGACACUGAGUGGUAAUGAGGUUCUUGUUAAUAAUAAUAACUUUCUCAAUAGUUUUCUGAAUGCAGUUCGGUCCCAAGUGACGCUAAAUUCUGUCUUCAUUCUAGCAGGUUGGGGAACAAAAAAGCCUAUUAUACAUGGCUUAAUAUGAAGUCAUAUCGAUGCUAAAAUGAUAAUUGUUGUU
RNAcentral lists this long non-coding RNA (213 nucleotides) under Carica papaya (papaya). Its description in RNAcentral is "long non-coding RNA (CPAP_LNC016100)". Lineage: Eukaryota; Viridiplantae; Streptophyta; Magnoliopsida; Brassicales; Caricaceae. The record is from RNAcentral.